This 360-nucleotide ribosomal RNA is filed under the name Haptophyta environmental samples. RNAcentral's name for it is "bacterial SSU rRNA". It matches the Rfam family "Eukaryotic small subunit ribosomal RNA", at positions 595 to 957 of the family's 1831-position model. The record is from RNAcentral. Lineage: Eukaryota; Haptophyta.
UAGCGUAUAUUAAAGUUGUUGCAGUUAAAAAGCUCGUAGUCGGAUUUCGGGGCGACGCAUUCGGUCUGCCGAAGGGUAAGUACUGGGUGUUGCGUCCUUCCUUCUGGAGACUGGUUCUACUCUUAACUGAGCGGGGUCAGGAAACAGAUCGUUUACUUUGAAAAAAUCAGAGUGUUUAAAGCAGGCCAAGAUUGCUCUUGCAUGGAUUAGCAUGGGAUAAUGAAAUAGGACUUUGGUGCUAUUUUGUUGGUUUCGAGCACUGAAGUAAUGAUUAAAAGGGACAGUCAGGGGCACUUGUAUUCCGUUGAGAGAGGUGAAAUUCUUAGACCAAUGGAAGACAAACUUCUGCGAAAGCAUUUG